GAAGUCAUUACAUGUUGUGUUAUUCUUCUAAGACAUAAUAUGCUCUUUUACAAAGCUUUGAUAAUUCUACAGUCAUAUAAAUGAUUUUAUGUUGCUGCCAGAGACAUUUUGUUCUUACCACAGUAGUUGUAAAAUGUUGCUGCCUGUUUAGAUUUUGCAAAAUCAAAACGAAUUACCUCUGGUCACAAGCUAAUUCUAACAAAAAAAGGACAACUUCUGAAGUGAUUCUGAGUCGUUGGGAUGAAUCAUUAGCUGCAACUCUAUGUUCUCCUCUAAUAUAAUCAAUAUUUCCUUAAAAUAUACCAUAUAAAAUAUACAUGUAGAGGACACUUCAUGUUGUAUGCGCCAAGAUUCAACUAUGGAGACAAGCAAUCAUUUAUUUGUUGAAUGUGAAUAUGCUACAAAAGUAAGAGAUACAAUAACUCAAUGGAUAAAAGUCAGUCUACCUACAAGAGGUUUCAAGGAAACAGUAGAAAUAAUCAAGAUAAAACAUUGGAAGAGUUUGAAGAAGUAAGUGAUAGCAGCUAUGUGGGGAGGAAAGCAAGAAAUUGGAAACACUUCAAAGGAGUACAUAUGCAGUAUACAGAGAUAGUGAACACAAUUAAUAGAGAAAUGGGUGAAACAAUAUUAAUGUUCAAUGAUACAAAAAAUCCAAGUAGAUGUAGUCGUUUUUUGGCAAAAUUGUGUAAUUACAUGUCUUUACUUUUCCUCAAUAUGUUGAGGUUUGGAUGAUUAUAAGUAUCUUUUAUGGUUUUUAUGUUAAUAAUAUUCACAUUGGUUGCCAAAAUACUUGAAGUUUUCUUUCAACCAUCACAUCAAAUCGUCUUGGUCACCAUUUUGUAGUUCCAGCUUUGAAAUGUGUCUUCUGAAUAUCUAUAGAUAUAGUUUCACCCUUCAUCUCACCUACUCUUACUAGAGCUUUUUCCCUCAUUUUGUAGUUGAAGCUUUCGAAGUUACAAACCUACCAGUUAAUUUAACUACAGGAGAACAUCAAUUAAAUAGUACUGGCUCCCUUACAAUCAGCACUUCUUUGUUAUUUCCUCAACAAGUUGAAGCUUCUGAAGCUAUAAACCUACCAGUUACUUCAACUAGAGGAGAAAGUAUAGUUAAUUGCUUAUCUACCUUUGAAGUAGGAUCAACGUCGGGUGCAUCUUAUGCUGCAAGCAGAUCAAGUUCAAGACGUACUUCAAAUAGAGGUAUGUUUCUCUCUACCAUAGUAAAAAAAAACUCUGUAUGCCUUUACCAUAGUAAAAAAAAAAUGUAUGCCUUUAUGUAACAAAUAAUUGCUUUUUACCAUGCACAGGUAGAAAUAAGUUAGAAGUAAAUCUACAAAAUGAUAAUUUAUUGCUAAAAGAUUACUUACUUUUAAAGAAAAUUCCAAAUUGCAAAUUUUGUGCAGCAAAAAGAUUUCAAUAUGAAUCACCAGGUUUUUGUUGUAAUAAUGGAUCAAUUAGGCUAACUUCUCAUAACAUGCCUAU
Solanum pennellii is the source of this 1478-nucleotide long non-coding RNA. RefSeq lists it as uncharacterized. The transcript is spliced from 3 exons. Lineage: Eukaryota; Viridiplantae; Streptophyta; Magnoliopsida; Solanales; Solanaceae. The record is from RefSeq and is a predicted model, not a curated record.